GCUAGUUUCAAGUACAAAGAGGUUGGAAUUAUCGUUUCGCUAAAAGUUAUCCCAGCUAUGAAGGUUAGUAAGUUGCUUGACCAGGGUACCUGUUGUAUUUGACUAGUGUGGUAGACACCAGAGAAGUCGAUGUUUCUUUGUUAUUUGAAUCAGUGGUGAAAAAGUAUUAUGAUAUUUUUCUAGAAGAGUUUCUAAGAUUACCGCGCUAAACAGAAAUUGGUCUUGCUAUUGAGAUAGAGUUAGACUCGUUCCUAUAUCUAAAGCUUCAUACAAAAUGGCCCCAACAGAGUUGAAAGAUUUGAAGGUGCAAUUGAAAGAAAUGUUUGACAAGGACUACAUUCGACGAAGUAUGUUAUCUUGGGGUGCACCAAUUUUUGUUUAUUAAGAAGAAAGAUGGGUCGAUGCACUUAUGUUUUGAUUGUAGAAAGUUGAAUAAGGUGUCAGUUAAGAAUAAAUAUUUUUUACCAAUGAAUGAGGAUUUGUUUGAUCAACUGCAAUAAGUCCGUGUUCUUUAAGAUUGAAUUACAUUCAGGUUAUGGCUUGUUGAGGAUUAGAGAACAGUGACAUUCCUAUGGCAGAUUUUCGUUCGUGAUAUGGACAUCAUGAGUUCAUUAUGAUGUCUUUUGAGUUGGCAAAUGCUCAAACAAUGUUUACGACUUGAUGAACAAAGUGUUUAACGAUCUCUUAGACACUUUCGUGAUUGUAUCUAUUGACGAUAUCUUAAUUUAUUCCAAAAUAGAGACAGCGCAUGAGGAGCAUUUAACAUGGUUUUAGAGGCUCUUCGAGUCAACAAAUUGUAUGCAAAGUUUUCAAAAUGUGAGUUUCGGAUGAGGCCAAGUAUCUUUCCAAGCCAUGUGGUAUCUAGAGAUGACAUUUAUGUGGAUCUCAUAAAAGAUUGAAGUCGUUACCAGUUGGCCUCAACCUUUCAUAGUCAGUGAGGUUCGUAGUCUUUUUGGGUUCAGCAGGUUAUUACUAACGGUUUGUAUAAGAAUUUUCUCGUAUAGCUACUCCUUUGACUCAGUUAACUAAGAAAAGGGACUCUGUUUGUUUGGGACAAAGCCUAUGAGGAUAGUGUUUAGGAUCUUAAGCAGAAGCUUGUACAACUCUCGUGCUUACCGUACAUGAUGGUUCAGAAAGUUUCGUAAUUUAUAGUGAUGCUUUUAGGAAAGUUUAAAAGGUAUUAUGAUUCAACAAGUUAAAGUAGUUGCUUGUACUCCUCGUCAGUUGAAGAGUCAUGAGGAAAAUUGUCCAACUUAUGAUAUGGAAUUGACAGUUGUGGUUUUUACAUUAAUGAUUUGAAGACACUAUAUGUAUGAUGAAAAGAUAUAGAUAUUUUCUAACCAAAAGAGUAUAAAAUACUUUUUCACUCAAAAGAAGUUGAGUAUGAGAUAGCAAAGAUGGUUUCAGUUAGUAAAUGACUAUGAUUGUGAGAUUUUGUACCAUCUAGGUAAGGCGAAUGUGGAAGUUGGUGCUCUUCGUAGAAAAGUAUCACAUUUUGACAGCACUUAUUACCAGACAGGUUUCAUUAGACAAAAACCACGAGAGAGCUGAGAUUGUAGUUUUAGUGGGGGAAGUCACCUCAAAGUUAGCUCAGUUGUCAGUACAUCCGAUCUUGAGACAAAGAAUUCUUGUGGUUCAAUUCAUUGAUCCUUAUUUGAUUGAGAAGCAUUGCCUAGUAGAAGUAGGGCAAGUUAAGGAGUUUUCCAUAUCCUUUGAUGAUGAACUUAUGUUUGAGAGAGAAUUAUGUGAGCCAACAGAAAAUGCAAUUAAGACAAGGUUAUUGGUUGAGACUCAUAGUUUCCCAUUUCUCAUGCAUCCAAGUAGCACAAAAAUGUAUCAGGAUCUAAAACGAUUUUAUUGGUGGCGGAAUAUGAAAAGGGAAGUGGCGGAAUUUGUUAGUAAGUGUCUAGUAUGUCAGCAAGUUAAGGCACCUAGACAGAAACCAGCAGGUUUGUUACAACCCUUAAGUGUGCAAGAGUGGAAGUGGGAGAAUGUGUUGAUGGAUUUUAUUUCAGGGCUGCCUAAGACCCUGAAGGGUUUCACAGUGAUUUUGGUUGUCAUAGACAGGCUUACGAAAUCGACACAUUUUGUACCAGGAAAAUCCACUUAUACUGCUAGUAAGUGGGCAGAGUUGUAUUUAACUGAGAUUUGUGAGACUGCAUGGAGUGCCUGUAUCGAUUGUUUCUGAUAGGGGUGCACGGUUUACUUCCAAGUUUUGGAAGGGACUUCAGACUGCUAUGGGUACGAGAUUGGAUUUUAGUACAGCCUUUCAUCCACAGACUGAUGGUCAAACUGAACGUUUGAACCAAGUUUUAGAGGAUAUGCUACGAGCUUGUGUUAUAGAGUUUCCAGGUAGUUGGGACUCUCAUCUACAUUUGAUGGAGUUUGCUUAUAACAACAGUUUCAAGGCUACCAUCGGUAUGGCACCAUUUGAGGCUUUGUAUGGCAAAUGUUGUAGAACCCCUGUUUGUUGGAGUGAGGUUGGUGAACAUAGGUUGAUGGGACCUGAAUUAGUUCGGUCUACUAAUGAGGCUAUUCAAAAGAUUAGAGCACGUAUGCAAACAGCGCAGAGUAGACAGAAGAGUUAUGCAGAUGUACGGCGAAAAGACCUUAAGUUCGAUGUGGGAGAAAAGGUAUUCUUGAAGGUAGCACCUAUGAAGGGUGUUAUGAUUUUUGAGAAGAAAGGGAAGUUAAGUCCUCGUUUUGUUGGACCAUUUGAGAUCUUAGAGAGGGUUGGUGUUGUGGCGUAUCGCUUGGCAUUACCACCAUCACUCUCUGCAGUUCAUAAUGUUUUCCAUGUUUCGAUGUUGAGGAAGUAUGUGGCCGAUACAUCUCAUGUAGUGGACUAUGAACCCUUGGAGAUUGAUGAUCAUUUGAGCUAUGUAGAACAACCUGUGGAGAUUCUGGCUAGAGAGGUAAAGAUGCUUUGUAAUAGAAGCAUUCCAUUAGUAAAGGUUUUGUGGCGGAAUCAUCGAAUUAAAGAGGCGACAUGGGAGCGAGAGGAAGAGAUGAGGACUCGUUAUCCAGAGUUAUUUCAGGAUUAGAACUUUCGAGGACGAAAGUUUCUUAAGGAGGGAAGAAUGUAACGCCCCAAACUUGAAGGUAAAUUAUUUUGAGAGAAUUAUUUCGAUUUGUUCAAGAUUUUUUUUUUAAAUAUGUUGAAGGGGAGAAAGAAGAUUUGAAAAUGUAUUAAUAUAAUUAAAUAUAUAUGUAUUUAAUUAUAUUUUUAUUAUUAUAUUUAUUCUACAUUUUAUUAAAUAAAAGAAAAGAAAAUGAAAAUUUUAAAUAUAUAUAUAUAUAUAUAUAUAUAUAUAUAUAUUUAUAUAUUUUUUAUUAUAAUUAUUUUAUAUAUUUUUUUAAAUAAAAAGAAAAAGAAAAUGAAAAUUUCUUUUUUUCCCUUUUCUUCUUCCUCCCGUGCGCCGCGACCCUCCUUCCCCUUCUCUCCGUUCGUGCAGCAACCGCCCUAACCGUCCUCUUCUCCUUCCGUUCGUGCCCAGCCGCAGCCCAGCCGCAAUCACCACCUCUAUCUUCUUCUUCCCGUCCCGCCGCAGCCAACUGCAGCCAGCCGCCGAUCCUUUCCUUCCAUUUUCUUCUUCCGUCCGCAGCCCUGCCGCGAAGCAAGACCACGCCGCUGCCAGUCCAGAUCUGCGGCGCCGUUGCUCUUCCGCCGCUGCCCAACCGUCUCAGCCGGUUCUGUCUCUGUCGAAGCCACGGUUCUGCAACCGUCUCCGCCGUCUCUAUCUCCGUCCGCGAGGCAAGUCGCACGCCUCAGUCACGAACAGCCUCGCCGACGCAGGUCACGCCGUAUCGCACGAAUUCGGCUACGUUGCCGGGCUACUCCCAUCCGCGCGUAACUGCUGUUGAACGUCCGAACCGUUCUGCCUUCGUCGAUACCCACCGUCGCGGACCAGUUCGCGUGCAAAAGUGUUUUGCACGAUGUCUUUUGUGUAGAUCCUGCGGCAACUUCUAUUUAACGUCGAUUGUCAAAGUCUUGUUACAAGAUAUUGGUAAGGAUGAGAUUGUUCGGUAAUAAGGUCUUACAUUUGUAAAUACAUUAAGAUGUGAUGUUGUUUAAUUGGUUGAAUUGAUCUUUGUUCUUGAAGGCGACAUCGGUGAUUUGGAGUUAGUGUCCUUGAGUUACGCCUUAAGCUUUGUUGGAGUUCGAUUCUUUACUCUUGGGGUUUGUUUGUUGAAGUUAGUUCGACUAAGGAAUUUUACAUAAAGAUCCAGGUAAGGGAUUUUCUACUGGACUCAAUUGUGAUUGUGAACUGUAUGUGUGUUGAAUGUAUACUGUGGUUUGACUGAAAAUAUAUAUGAAUGCAUAUGAAUUGAAGUAGACUUAACGUCGAAUGUAUAUCGUGAUUGUCAUGGAACAUAUAUAUAAGUGUGUGUAUGUGGACAGGACGAAGAUUUUAGAUUGUGUUGGUAUGAGAUGUAGAUAUGAACUUGUGAUUCUCGUUUAGAUUGGGUGUAUGAUUACGCUAAAGUAUGACUGUGUGCUGGAGAACUGAGGGGUGCAUUGACUGUAUAGUGGAUUGACUGAUGUAUUAGCAUAUUAUUGACAGACAUAUGACUGUAGUAAAAUAAGUUGACUGUUAGGAUGUUGAAAGAAAGAACUUUGUGACUUGAAGUAAUUGAAAGAUGGGUUGAAUGGAAUGAAGGGAUAAAUUGUUAGAUUGUAUUGGGAUGUUUACCUUGUAGGUGUCCCACGGGAUCACCAAUUUAUUGUGCACCUUCGGGAGCAUUUGACUGAUAUGUGUUUCUGCAGAACACUAGACUGAUAUGUACGUCCCUCGGGGCGUUAGACUGAUAUGUACGUCCCUCGGGGCGUUAGACUGAGAUGUACGUCCCUCGGGGCGUUAGACUGAUAUGUACGUCCCUUGGGGCGUUAGACUGAGAUGUGUAUCCUACGGGAUCACAAGACUGCGACUGUACAGGAUGACCCAAUAGAACUUUAACAAUUUAUUUUCCCCUGACGAGACGAGUAGAGGGUCUCUUACUGAGUAUUUAAAAUACUCACCCUUCUUAUGUUUAAUUUUCAGGCAAAGGUAAUAAAGGCGGCAAACAGGCGAGGGGCAGGAAGGAAACGUGAUGCCAUAGGAAACGUGUUUUUGCUUCUGCUUAUGGGUUCUUGAGAGGUUUAAAAUGGAUUGAAAUUUAGUUUACAAACGUUUGUUGUAAAUAGUAUUAUUUUAUGAAUGUUUAAAAAUCAGGCCUGACUUGAAGAUGUUUUUUUUAAAUUGCUUACGUUUUGUUUUAUAUUAAACAAAGUCUUUAUUUGAAAAAAAAAAAAAUAACGACCUCGACUUACUUAGAAAAGUUGGGUCGUUACAGUAAAUGUUUUUAUAUGACUAACAACAUAUAUAUGUAUUAUGGAGUAGUAUAAAUGUAAUUGUUGAGCAAGAAAUUUCAACCAAUGAAAUUACACCACGUCGUCACACCCAAGUUGUGAUGAUUAUAAUUUGAUUGGAUUUGGGUAGUCAAGUUUUCCAACCCAAUUCAAGCCCCUGAUAAAAAAUCAGGCCAAAUAAAGGGGCCUAAGCCCACUAAGAAAAUGGGCCCAAGCCCAAGUCCAAGCUCAACAACUCAACAAGCAAAUGGGUCCAAGCCCACAUAAAGUCCACAAAUUUUCUCUAUAAAUAGAGACCUUUGUCAUUCAUUCGAGAGAUCUUUUGUUGAAGGAAGAAAUGAAGCUCUGAAGUACAGAAGCUUUGAAGAAUUGAAGAUUCAAACUUCUAUAGAGCUCUCAAGACGUGCAAGUUCUUAUCAACUUCGAGAUCAUCAUCUCCUGAAAUAUUGAAGACUUGGAAGAUCAAAAUUUCCUUGAAUUCCAGAAGACUGAAGCUGAAAUAGACCGAACCAUUUAAAUUCGGUUUGGACUAUUUGAGCCAGCAACAAACUGUGUUUUUUGUUUUGUACAUAAAUGGUGUGGUUUGAUUCGGUUUUAACAAGCGGUUCAAUUUAUACCGUUUAGACUUGAUCUUAUAUAAUGUGAAAUUAUUUUUUUUCUUUGAAUUUUUAUCUAAGUGUACUCAAAUUGUAUACCAUGUUACAAAAUUAAUUGCAAUAAAUUUUUUAAAAUUUUCAAAAAUAUCAUAAAUUGACUAAUAUUUUAUACAAAUAUAGAGUAAAAAUGACCAAUUUACUCUUUUUAUUAUUAAUAAUAUAUUAAAAAUAAAAAAGAAAAGUGAACCACGUUUAAGAUUUUCAUUUAUUAAAUAUUCUAUGAAAAUAUGGAUUAAAUUCUAUUAAAGUAAUAUUAAUAAUAAAAAUUGUCCUUAGUUUGCUUUUUAUGAUUUUAUUAAAAAAUUGUCAUUUUUUAUUUUGCAUUCUUUUUCAUAUAUUUUAUAUAAUUAUAGUAUAUAUUGAAUAAUAUAAUGUAUAUUUUAUUAGUGAAAUGUUCUUAUAUCAAUUUAUUUAUUUAUUUUAUUUAAGUAUUCAUAUCUUACGUAGUAAAUAAUACAUUAUGUUUGAAAUAAUAUUAAUUAUAUAUGAAAGUUGUUUAUGUUUACAAGAACAUGAAUGAGAAAUAAUUAUGAUGAGUAUAUGUAAUAUAUGUCAUUAAAAUAUUUGUUAUUCUCUAGUAUCUGUAAUAGGGGUGUUCAAAAUGAAGUUGAAAACUGAAUCGAAUCACUAAUCGAACCGAAAUCGAAUGCAUAUGGUUCGGUUCGAUUCGAUUUCUAUUUAAAAAAAACCACAUAAAAUUCGGUUCGGUUCAGUUUAAGAUGUUAAGAACGCGAUUCUCAAACCGAACUGAAUUGCUUUAUUUUAAAAACUAAAUAUAUAUAUAUAUAUAUAUGUUAAUAUGUAUGUAUGAUAUUCUCUAUAACACAAGCUCGUAGCAUAUCCUCUAAACCAAUUUACUCUUUUUAUUAUUAAUAAUAUAUUAAAAAUAAAAAGAAAAGUGAACCACGUUUAAGAUUUUCAUUUAUUAAAUAUUCUAUGAAAAUAUGGAUUAAAUUCUAUUAAAGUAAUAUUAUGUAAUGCCCAAAGAAAAGGUAAAUAUAUAUAUAUAUAUAUAUAUAUAUAUAUAUAUAUAUAUUAUUUUUAUUUUAAUAUUAAAAAAUUUCUUUAUUUUUUUCUCUUCUUUUCUUCUUUUUCUUUUUCUUUUCUUUUCUCCCUUCUUCUUCCCCGUGCGACCGCGACCCCUAUCCAUCUUCUCCACUCCGUUCUCCAUCUCCGUUCGCGAAGCAGCCUUGCAGCAGCCGCCGCGUAACUGUCUGAUCCAGAUCUGCGUCGCAGCCCGGGAACCGCCGCCCUUAUUUUCUUUCCGGUCGUUUUCUUUCUCCUUCGGAUCGAAACUGCCACGACCAUCCACCUGUUACUGCCGUUGCUCUUCCGCCUCUGCCCAGUUUUGCCGCGCAACACCUGUCUCCGUCGAAGCCAACCCAGCCGUCGUCUCUAUCUCCGUUCGCGAGGCAAAUCGCACGCCUCAGUCACGAACAGCCUCGCCGACGCAGGUCACGCCGCAUCGUACGAGUUCGGCUACGUUGCCGGGCUACUCCCGUCCGCGCGUAACUGCUGUUGAACGUCCGAACCAUUCUGUCUUCGUCGAUACUCGCUGUCCAUUUACGAAUUGUGGACCGAUUCGCGUGCAGAUUUGUUUGCACGAUUUCUUUUGUGUAGAUCCUGCUGCGGCAACUUCUAUUUUAACGUUGAUUGUCAAAGUCUUGUUAUAAGUUAUUGGUAAGGAUGAGAUUGUUGGGUAAUAAGGUUUUACAUUUGUAAAUACAUUAAGAUGUGAUGUUUGUUUAAUUGGUUGAAUUGAUGUUUGUUCUUGAAGGCGACAUCGGUGAUUUGGAGUUACUGUCCUUGAGUUACGCCUUAAGCUUUGUUGGAAUUCGAUUCUUUACUCUUUGGGGUUUGUUUGUUGGAAUUAGUUCGACCAAGAAAUUUUACAUAAAAUCGAGGUAAGGGAUUUUCUACUGGACUCAAUUGUGAUUGUGAACUGUGAUUGUGAACUGUAUGUGUGUUGAAUGUAUACUGUGGGUUGACUGAAAAUAUAUAUGAAUGUAUAUGAAUUGAAGUAGACUUGACGUCGAAUGUAUGUCGUGAUUGUCAUGGAAUCUAUAUAUAAAUGUGUGUAUAUGGACAGGACGGAGAUUGUAGAUUGUGUUUGUAUGAGAUUCUCGUUUAGAUUGGGUGUAUGAUUACGCUAAAGUAUGACUGUGUGCUGGUGAACUGAGGGGUGCAUUGACUGUAUAGUGGAUUGACUGAUGUAUUAGCAUAUUAUUGACAGACAUAUGACUGUAGUAAAAUAAGUUGACUGUUAGGAUGUUGAAAGAAAGAACUUUGUGACUUGAAGUAACUGAAAGAUGGGUUGAAUGGAAUGAGGGGAAAAUUUUUAGAUUGUAUUGGGAUGUUUACCUUGUAGGUGUCCCACGGGAUCACCAAUUUAUUGUGCACCUUCGGGAGCAUUUGACUGAUAUGUGUUUCUGCAGAACACUAGACUGAUAUGUACGUCCCUCGGGGCGUUAGACUGAUAUGUACGUCCCUCGAGGCGUUAGACUGAGAUGUGUAUCCUACGGGAUCACAAGACUGCGACUGUACAGGGUGUCCCAAUAGAACUUUAACAAUUUAUUUUCCCCUGACGAGACCAGUAGAGGGUCUCUUACUGAGUAUUUAAAUACUAACCCUUCUUAUGUUUAAUUUUCAGGCAAAGGUAAUAAAGGCGCCAAACAGGCGAGGGGCAGGAAGGAAGCGUGAUGCUAUAGGAAACGUGUUUUUGCUUCCACUUAUGGGUUCUUGUGAGGUGUAAAAAAAAUAAUAACGACCUCGACUUACAUAGAAAAGUUGGGUCGUUACAGUUGGUAUCAGAGCCUAAGUUUUAGGUUCUGUAGACUGACUUACGAUGUAAGUCUAUGUUUUUGUGUUCCUAUGGCUAACGCGACCCUUCGUCUCUCGUCAGGUAUGCUUGAUGCUUAUAUGUAUGGUUUAUUUGCAUGACCUUGCCUAAAUUAAACUAGAUUGCAUGACGAUAAAGACUUGCUUAUGCUUAUGAUUAAGAUUUUGUUAAAGAGUGUUGUUGGUGGAUAAUAGGAAUUAUGCCGCCAAGGGAGGGUGUACGUAGAGGAGGUCGUAGAGGCCGAGGUAGAGGAGUAGGAGGUCGAGGUAGAGGCGCAGGUCGUAAUCAGCCUACUGAGGGUCAAGCUGAACAGCGAAUUCCUGCUGCACCCGUGACUCACGUUGAGUUUGAUGCACUGUCUGCUCACAUGGAGCAGAGGUUUACAAAACUUAUGACAGCUAUAGCUCAAAACCAGCAGGAACCUGCGGUUCCACCUGCACCUGUAGUUCCCCCUGCACUGCAGCCCCUCGUGCACAAGGAUUACCGAACCAACUUUCUGCUGAGGCGAAACAUUUGAGGGACUUUCAGAAGUAUGACCCUCAGACGUUUGAUGGGUCACUGGAGGAUCCUACUAAAGCUGAAAUGUGGUUGUCCUCUGUGGAAACCAUAUUUAAUUACAUGAGAUGUCCCGAGGAGCACAGAGUUCAGUGUGCUGCUUUUCUACUGAGGGACAGAGGCAUUAUCUGGUGGAGGACUACAAUGCGCAUGCUAGGUGGAGAUGUGAGGCAAAUUACCUGGGAUCAGUUUAAGGACUGCUUCUAUACCAAGUUUUUCUCGGCUAACCUUAGAGACGCCAAAAGCCAGGAAUUCUUGGAGUUGAAGCAAGGAUAUAUGACAGUCGAGGAGUACGACCAGGAGUUUGAUAUGCUGUCACGUUUUGCCCCUGAGCUUGUUAGUAAUGAGCAGGCUAGAGCUGAUAGGUUCGUCAAGGGAUUGAGAGAUGAAAUUAGGGGCUUUGUGCGAGCACUAAAGCCCACUACCCAAGCUGAAGCACUGCGUCUGACAGUGGAUAUGAGCAUUGGGAAUGAUGAAAUACAGCCAAGGAGCUUUGAUAAGGGAUCGUCGUCGGGUCAAAAGAGAAAAGUAGAGUAGAGAACUGUAGGAGUUCCUCAGAGGAACUUGAGACCAGGCGAUCCUUUUCGCAGUUUCCAGCAGAGUUCUGGCGGUGCAGGAGACACUACUCGAGAGAGGCCAGUAUGUAAUACAUGUGGGAAACGCCACCUGGGUCGUUGUUUGAUGGGAACGAGAGUCUGUUAUAAGUGCAAGCAAGAGGGACACAUGGCUGAUAGGUGUCCCUUGAGAUCUACUGGGGCUGGAUCGAGCAGUCAGGGAGAGAGACCUCCACAGCGUGGUACAAUCUUUGCCACUAAUAGAUCAGAGGCAGAGAAGGUCGGCACAAUAGUGACAGGUACAUUACCAGUGUUAGGGCAUUUUGCCUUGACCUUGUUUGACUCGGGAUCUUCUCAUUCAUUUAUUUCAUCGCUUUUUGUGAUGCAUGCAUGCUUAGAGGUGGAACCCUUAGACUAUGUUUUGUCAGUGUCUACACCGUCUGGAGAAAUUAUGUUGUCUAAGGAAAAGAUUAAAGCAUGUGAAAUUGAGAUAGCUGGUCGUGUGCUGGACGUAACCUUGUUGGUAUUAGAUAUGUGUGACUUUGAUGUAAUUUUAGGUAUGGAUUGGCUAGCUACUAAUCAUGCUAGUAUUGAUUGUUCUCGUAAGGAAGUUGUGUUCAGUCCCCCUACUGCAUCUAGCUUUAAAUUCAAGGGGGUAGGAACAGUAGUACUGCCUAAAGUAAUCUCAGCUAUGAAAGCUAGUAAACUACUCAACCAGGGUACUUGGAGUAUUUUGGCAAGUGUGGUGGAUACUAGGGAAGGUGAGACUUCUUUAACUUCAGAACCUGUGGUAAGAGAAUACCCAGAUGUGUUUCCAAAAGAUCUUCCAGGACUACCGCCACAUAGAGAGGUUGAUUUUGCCAUUGAGUUGGAGCCAAACACUACUCCUAUUUCUAGAGCCCCUUAUAGGAUGGCUCCUGCUGAGUUGAAAGAAUUGAAGGUACAGUUACAGGAAUUGCUUGACAAAGGCUUUAUUCGACCUAGUGUGUCAUCUUGGUGUGCACCAGUAUUGUUUGUGAAGAAGAAGGAUGGGUCGAUGCGUCUUUGCAUUGACUAUAGAGAGUUGAAUAAAGUAACAGUCAAGAACAGAUAUCCUUUACCCAGAAUCGAUGAUUUGUUCGAUCAGUUACAGGGAGCCACAGUGUUCUCUAAGAUUGAAUUAUGGUCAGGUUAUCACCAGUUGAGGAUUAGAGACCGUGAUAUUCCUAAGACUGCUUUUCGUUCGAGGUAUGGACAUUAUGAAUUCAUAGUAAUGUCUUUUGGUUUGACUAAUGCACCUGCUGUAUUUAUGGAUUUGAUGAACAGGGUGUUUAAGGAUUUCUUAGACACUUUUCUUGGUCAUGUGGUUUCCAGUGAGGGAGUUUCAGUAGACCCUGCAAAGAUAGAAGCGGUUACCAGUUGGUCUCGACCCUCUACAGUUGGUGAGGUUCGUAGUUUUCUGGGUUUAGCAGGGUACUACCGGAGGUUUGUGGAGGAUUUUUCAUGUUUGGCUACUCCUUUGACUCAGUUGACAAGGAAGGGAACUCCGUUUGUUUGGAGUCCAGCUUGCGAGGACAGUUUUCAGAACUUAAAGCAAAGGUUAGUUACUGCACCGGUCCUUACUGUACCAGAUGGAUCUGGAAGUUUUGUGAUUUACAGUGAUGCUUCCAAGAAAGGACUGGGUUGUGUUAUGAUGCAGAAAGGUAAGGUGGUUGCUUAUGCCUCUCGUCAGUUGAAGAGUCACGAGCAGAACUACCCCAUACAUGAUUUGGAGUUGGCAGCAGUGGUUUUUGCAUUGAAGAUAUGGAGACAUUACUUGUACGGUGAAAAGAUACAAAUCUUUACUGACCAUAAGAGCCUAAAGUACUUCUUCACUUAGAAGGAGUUGAAUAUGAGACAACGAAGGUGGCUCGAGUUGGUAAAAGAUUAUGACUGUGAGAUAUUGUACCAUCCUGGUAAGGCGAAUGUGGUGGCUGAUGCUCUUAGUAGAAAAGUAUCACAUUCGGCAGCACUCAUUACUAGACAGGUACCAUUGCAUCGAGACUUGGAGAGAGCUGAGAUUGCAGUGUCUGUGGGGAGAGUCACCUCACAGUUGGCUCAAUUAACGGUGCAACCGACUCUAAGGCAGAAGAUUGUUGAUGCUCAGAGUAGUCAUCCUUAUUUGAUGGAGAGAUGUCGCCUUGUUGAAACAGGGCAGACUGAUGAGUUCUCCAUAUCCUCUGAUGGUGGGUUGAUGUUUGAAAGACGUUUGUGUGUGCCAGCGAACAGUACAGUUAAGAUUGACUUACUAGAUGAAGCCCAUAAUUCCCCAUUUCCAAUGCAUCCUGGUAGCACGAAAAUGUAUCAGGAUCUAAAACGAUUUUAUUGGUGGCGGAAUAUGAAAAGGGAAGUGGCGGAAUUUGUUAGUUAGUGUCUAGUAUGUCAGCAAGUUAAGGCACCUAGACAGAAACCAGCAGGUUUGUUACAACCCUUAAGUGUGCCAGAGUGGAAGUGGGAGAAUGUGUCGAUGGAUUUUAUUUCAGGGCUGCCUAAGACCCUGAAGGGUUUCACAGUGAUUUUGGUUGUCAUAGACAGACUUACGAAAUCGGCACAUUUUGUACCAGGGAAAUCCACUUAUACUGCUAGUAAGUGGGCAGAGUUGUAUUUAACUGAGAUUGUGAGACUGCAUGGAGUGCCUGUAUCGAUUGUUUCUGAUAGGGAUGCACGGUUUACUUCCAAGUUUUGGAAGGGACUUCAGACUGCUAUGGGUACGAGGUUGGAUUUCAGUACAGCUUUUCAUCCACAGACUGAUGGUCAAACUGAACGUUUGAACCAAGUUUUAGAGGAUAUGCUACGAGCUUGUGUUAUAGAGUUUCUAGGUAGUUGGGACUUUCAUCUACAUUUGAUGGAGUUUGCUUAUAACAACAGUUUUCAGGCUACCAUCGGUAUGGCACCAUUUGAGGCUUUGUAUGGCAAAUGUUGUAGAACCCCUGUUUGUUGGAGUGAGGUUGGUGAACAUAGAUUGAUGGGACCUGAAUUAGUUCGGUCUACUAAUGAGGCUAUUCAAAAUAUUAGAGCACUUAUGCAAACAGCGCAGAGUCGACAGAAGAGUUAUGCGGAUGUACAGCGAAAAGACCUUAAGUUCGAUGUGGGAGAAAAGGUAUUCUUGAAGGUAGCACCUAUGAAGGGUGUUAUGCGUUUUGAGAAGAAAGGAAAGUUAAGUCCUCGUUUUGUUGGACCAUUUGAGAUCUUAGAGAGGGUUGGUGUUGUGGCGUAUCGCUUGGCAUUACCACCAUCUCUCUCUGCAGUUCAUAAUAUUUUCCAUGUUUCGAUGUUGAGGAAGUAUGUGGUGGAUACAUCUCAUGUAGUAGACUAUGAACCCUUGGAGAUUGAUGAGCAUUUGAGCUAUGUAGAACAACCUGUGGAGAUUCUGGCUAGAGAGGUAAAGAUGCUUCGUAAUAGAAGCAUUCCAUUAGUAAAGGUUUUGUGGCAGAAUCAUCGAAUUGAAGAAGCGACAUGGGAGCGAGAAGAAGAGAUGAGGACUCGUUAUCCAGAGUUAUUUCAGGAUUAGAACUUUCGAGGACGAAAGUUUCUUAAGGGGGGAAGAAUGUAAAGUCCCAAAGGUAAAAAUAUAUAUAUAUAUAUACAUUUUUUUUAAUUUAUAUAUAUAUAUAUAUAUAUAUUUUCUUUUCUUUUCUUUUUCUUUUCUUUUCUCUCUUCUCCUUCCUCCCCGUGCGUUCUCCUUCCCGUUCGCAGCAACCGCCGCCCCAUCUAUUCUCUUUCCGUUCGUGCGCAGCCGCAGUCCAACCACCCCUUCUUUUCUUUUCUUCCUCUUUCGUUCGACGUCGACGGUCAGGCCAAGCCAAACCGCCGCUGCAACCGUCGGCCGCCGUCUCUGUUGCGAAGCAAGGCCGCCGCGUGACCUUCCGCCCACCGCCGUGUGACCCUCUGUCCAGAUCUGCACCGCUAGAUCGAGCCGUCCACCGGUUUCGUCUGUUUCUGUCUCCGUUCACCGAAGUCGAACCCAACCGCCACCCUUUCUUUUCUUCUUCGAUCCAAAAACUGCCGCUGCAACCGUCAGCCGCCGCGUGACCUCUGCCCAGCACCGCCGCGCGACCUCUGUCUCUGCGCCGUUACCCAGAUCUGCGUCGCCGUGCCCCAUCCUAAUCGUCUCUGUCUCUGUCGAAGUUUUGUUGGUAAGAUUGAAGUUAUGAAAUUGUAGUCGUUUACAAAACAAUUUAAGUAUGGGUUGUGAUGUUUUCAAGGUGUUCAAACGUUACGGAUGGGUUAAUUGACUAAUUUGAUAAAUUAUUCUUGAAGGUGUGAAAGGUAACUUUGGAUCACUUAAAUUCACAACCAAUUUGUGAAUUGUUGAGGGUUCAGUUUGCCAAUAUAUCGGUGAGUUGGAACUUACGUUGAGGAAAGUAAGUGAGAUAUGUAUCGUGAAAGUAAUUGAAUUUUGUGUUGUUGUGCUUAGGAUUGUUUCGAGGACGUUAGUUGAUUAAGGAGCUUCCCCAACUUUGAGGUAAGGGACUUUCUACUGGACUCACCUAAAGUUUUUGAGUUGUGUUGGACUGUAUGGAUGAUGAUUAAGAUGUACAUGUUUGGUUGCAGACUAAAUGUUUAGUGUAUGUUGUAUUUGACUGGAAACAUAUAUAUAUACAUUGUUGUGUGAAUUGAUGUGGAUUGCCGAAAGUAUACAUGUGAAUGACUGAAAUUAUGCUUAUGUGUACAUGAUGAUAUUAAUAGAUUGUGUUGUAUAAAGAUUUGGAUGUGAACUAGUGAAUUUGUUUCGGUUGGAUGUGGAUUAUACUGAACUGUGGUUUGUGCUGGUGAACUGAGGGGUGUAUUGACUGUAUAGUUUGAUUGACUGACGUAUUAGUAUAUUAUUGACAGACAUAUGACUAAAGUGAGUUAAGUUGACUGUUAGGACGUUGAGAGAAAGAACUUUAUGUUUUGAAGUAACUGAAAGAUGGAUUGAAUGGAAUGAGGGGAUAAAUUGUUAGAUUGUAUUGGGAUGUUUACCUUGUAGGUGUCCCACGGGAUCACCAAUUUAUUUUGCACCUUCGGGAGCAUUUGACUGAUAUGUGUUUCUGCAGAACACUAGACUGAUAUGUACGUCCCUCGGGGCGUUAGACUGAUAUGUACGUUCCUCGGGGCGUUAGACUGAGAUGUGUAUCCUACGGGAUCACAAGACUGCGACUGUACAGGGUGUCCCAAUAGAACUUUAACAAUUUAUUUUCCCCUGACGAGACCAGUAGAGGGUCUCUUACUGAGUAUUGUUAUACUCACCCUUCUUAUGUUUAAUUUUCAGGCAAAGGAAAUAAAGGUGGCAAACCGGCGAGGGGCAGGAAGGAAGCGUGAUUGCCAUAGGAAAUGUGUCAUUUUGCUUCCGCUUAUGGUUUCUUUUGAGGUUUAAGAUGUACUAAAACUUAGUUUACAAACUUUUAUUUGUAAAUAGUGUUAUUUUUAAGUUUUCUUGAAUAUUUGAAAAUCAGGCCUUACAUAAAUUGUUUUUAAAUUGACUUACGUUUCAUUUUGUAUCAACCAAAGUCUUUUGUUAAAAAUUAAUGACCUCGACUUACCUAUAAAAGUUGGGUCGUUACAGAUAUAUAUUGAAAUUCAACUAUAAAUUAUGUAGAACUAUAUGUCACUAAAUAUUUAUGUUGUAAAUAAGGUGUAUCUAUAUAUUAAAUCACAUCAUAAACAUAUUAUAAUUUACGAGUAUAUUAUAGUAUAUAUUGUUCAUUUAAAAAAUAUAUGACAAAUAGAAGGUAUAUAAUUAUACGAAGUGAGAAUAUGUAUGUAUGAUAUUCUCACUGCAUAUAUAUAUAUACACUAAGAAUGUGUAUUUUACUGUUUUAGUAGUAUUUACUAUAUAAAUAUAUAUUUUAAAAUAUUAAUUAUAAAUGAAUAUAUAGUUUACUACAUGUUGUUACAACAUACUUAAGAUAUAAAUGUUUAUAUGACUAACAACAUAAUAUUACUAUAAGAUAAACAAAAAAAUAAAGAACAGAUUGAAUUGAAAAAUAUUUUCGAUUACUGUAUGUCACUAUAUAUGUCUGAUUGUAUAUAUCUCUAAGCAAUAUUACAUAAUGAGGUAGUAUAUAUGUAAACAAAUCACAUAAUAUAUAUGUAUUAUGGAGUAGUAUAAAUGUAAUUGUUGAGCAAGAAAUUUCAACCAAUGAAAUUACACCACGUCGUCGCACCCAAGUUGUGAUGAUUAUAAUUUGAUUGGAUUUGGGUAGUCAAGUUUUCCAACCCAAUUCAAGCCCCUGAUAAAAAAUCAGGCCAAACAAAGGGGCCUAAGCCCACUAAGAAAAUGGGCCCAAGCCCAAGUCCAAGCUCAACAACUCAACAAGAAAAUGGGUCCAAAGCCCACAUAAAGUCCACAAAUUUUCUCUAUAAGUAGACCUUUGUCAUUCAUUCGAGAGAUCUUUUGUUGAAGGAAGAAAUGAAGCUCUGAAGUACUGAAGCUUUGAAGAAUUGAAGAUUCAAACUUCUAUAGAGCUCUCAAGACGUGCAAGUUUUUAUCAACUUCGAGAUCAUCGUCUUCUGAAAUAUUGAAGACUUGGAAGAUCAAAAUUUCCUUGAAUUCCAGAAGACUGAAGCUGAAAUAGACCGAACCAUUUAAAUUCGGUUUGGACUAUUUGAGACAGCAACAAACUGUGUUUUUUGUUUUGUACAUAAAUGGUGUGGUUUGAUUCGGUUUUAACAAGCGGUUCAAUUUAUACCGUUUAGACUUGAUCUUAUAUAAUGUGAAAUUAUUUUUUUUUCUUUGAAUUUUUAUCUAAGUGUACUCAAAUUGUAUACCAUGUUACAAAAUUAAUUGCAAUAAAUUUUUUAAAAUUUUCAAAAAUAUCAUAAAUUGACUAAUAUUUUAUACAAAUAUAGAGUAAAAAUGACCAAUUUACUCUUUUUAUUAUUAAUAAUAUAUUAAAAAUAAAAAGAAAAGUGAACCACGUUUAAGAUUUUCAUUUAUUAAAUAUUCUAUGAAAAUAUGGAUUAAAUUCUAUUAAAGUAAUAUUAUGUAAUGCCCAAAGAAAAGGUAAAUAUAUAUAUAUAUAUAUAUAUAUAUAUAUAUAUAUAUAUAUAUAUAUUACUUUUAUUUUAAUAUUAAAAAAUUUCUUUAUUUUUUUUCUCUUCUUUUCUUCUUUUUCUUUUUCUUUUCUUUUCUCCCAUCUUCUUCCCCGUGCGACCGCGACCCGUAUCCAUCUUCUCCACUCCGUUCUCCAUCUCCGUUCGCGAAGCAGCCUUGCAGCAGCCGCCGCGUAACUGUCUGAUCCAGAUCUGCGUCGCAGCCCAGAAACCGCCGCCCUUAUUUUCUUUCCGGUCGUUUUCUUUCUCCUUCGGAUCGAAACCGCCACGCCCAUCCACCUGUAACUGUCGUUGCUCUUCCGCCUCUGCCCAGUUUUGCCGCGCAACACCUGUCUCCGUCUAAGCCAAUCCAGCCGCCGUCUCUAUCUCCGUUCGCGAGGCAAAUCGCACGCCUCAGUCACAAACAGCCUCGCCGACGCAGGUCACGCCGCAUCGCACGAGUUCGGCUACGUUACCGGGCUACUCCCGUCUGCGCGUAACUGCUGUUGAACGUCCGAACCAUUCUGCCUUCGUCGAUACCCGCUGUCCAUUUACGAAUUGUGGACCGAUUCGCGUGCAGAUUUGUUUGCACGAUUUCUUUUGUGUAGAUCCUGCUGCGGCAACUUCUAUUUUAACGUCGAUUGUCAAAGUCUUGUUAUAAGUUAUUGGUAAGGAUGAGAUUGUUGGGUAAUAAGGUUUUACAUUUGUAAAUACAUUAAGAUGUGAUGUUUGUUUAAUUGGUUGAAUUGAUGUUUGUUCUUGAAGGCGACAUCGGUUAUUUGGAGUUAGUGUCCUUGAGUUACGCCUUAAGCUUUGUUGGAAUUCGAUUCUUUACUCUUUGGGGUUUGUUUGUUGGAAUUAGUUCGACCAAGAAAUUUUACAUAAAAUCGAGGUAAGGGAUUUUCUACUGGACUCAAUUGUGAUUGUGAACUGUGAUUGUGAACUGUAUGUGUGUUGAAUGUAUACUGUGGGUUGACUGAAAAUAUAUAUGAAUUGAAGUAGACUUGACGUUGAAUGUAUGUCGUGAUUGUCAUGGAAUCUAUGUAUAAAUGUGGGUAUGUGGACAGGACGGAGAUUGUAGAUUGUGUUUGUAUGAGAUUCUCGUUUAGAUUGGGUGUAUGAUUACGCUAAAGUAUGACUGUGUGCUGGUGAACUAAGGGGUGCAUUGACUGUAUAGUGGAUUGACUGAUGUAUUAGCAUAUUAUUGACAGACAUAUGACUGUAGUAAAAUAAGUUGACUGUUAGGAUGUUGAAAGAAAGAACUUUGUGACUUGAAGUAACUGAAAGAUGGGUUGAAUAGAAUGAGGGGAAAAUUGUUAGAUUGUAUUGGGAUGUUUACCUGGUAGGUGUCCCACGGGAUCACCAAUUUAUUGUGCACCUUCGGGAGCAUUUGACUGAUAUGUGUUUCUACAGAACACUAGACUGAUAUGUACGUCCCUCGGGGCGUUAGACUGAGAUGUGUAUCCUACGGGAUCACAAGACUGCGACUGUACAGGGUGUCCCAAUAGAACUUUAACAAUUUAUUUUCCCCUGACGAGACCAGUAGAGGGUCUCUUACUGAGUAUUUAAAUACUCACCCUUCUUAUGUUUAAUUUUCAGGCAAAGGUAAUAAAGGCGGCAAACAGGCGAGGGGUAGGAAGGAAGCGUGAUGCCAUAGGAAACGUGUUUUUGCUUCCACUUAUGGGUUCUUGUGAGGUUUAAAAUGAAUUGAAAUUUAGUUUACAAACGUUUGUUGUAAAUAGUAUUAUUUUAUGUUUUCUUGAAUGUUUAAAAAUCAGGCCUGACUUGAAGAUGUUUUUUUUAAAUUGCUUACGUUUUGUUUUAUAUUAAUCAAAGUCUUUUAUUUGUAAAAAACUAAUAACGACCUCGACUUACUUAGAAAAGUUGGGUCGUUACAGUUGGUAUCAGAGCCUAAGUUUUAGGUUCUGUAGACUGACUUAUGAUGUAAGUCUAUGUUUUUGUUUUCCUAUGGCUAACACGACCCUUCGUAUCUCGUCAUGUAUGCUUGAUGCUUAUAUGUAUGGUUUAUUUGCAUGACCUUGCCUAAAUUAAACUAGAUUGCAUGACGAUAAAGACUUGCUUAUGCGUAUGAUUAAGAUUUUGUUAAAGAGUGUUGUUGGUGGAUAAUAGGAAUUAUGCCGCCAAGGGAAGGUGUACGUAGAGGAGGUCGUAGAGGCCGAGGUAGAGGAGUAGGAGGCCGAGGUAGAGGAGCAGGUCGUAAUCAGCCUACUGAGGGUCAAGCUGAACAGCGAAUUCCUGCUGCACCCGUGACUCACGUUGAGUUUGAUGCACUGUCUGCUCACAUGGAGCAGAGGUUUACAGAACUUAUGACAGCUAUAGCUCAAAACCAGCAGGCACCUGCGGUUCCACCUGCACCUGUAGUUCCCCCUGCACCAGCAGCCCCUCCUGCACAAGAAUUACCGAACCAACUUUCUGCUGAGGCGAAACAUUUGAGGGACUUUCGGAAGUAUGACCCUCAGACGUUUGAUGGGUCACUGGAGGAUCCUACUAAAGCUGAAAUGUGGUUGUCCUCUGUGGAAACCAUAUUUAAUUACAUGAGAUGUCGCGAGGAGCACAGAGUUCAGUGUGCUGCUUUUCUACUAAGGGACAGAGGCAUUAUCUGGUGGAGGACUACAAUGCGCAUGCUAGGUGGAGAUGUGAGGCAAAUUACCUAGGAUCAGUUUAAGGACUGCUUCUAUACCAAGUUUUUCUCGGCUAACCUUAGAGAUGCCAAAAGCCAGGAAUUCUUGGAGUUAAAGCAAGGAUAUAUGACAGUCGAGGAGUACGACCAGGAGUUUGAUAUGCUGUCACGUUUUGCCCCUGAGCUUGUUAGUAAUGAGCAGGCUAGAGCUGAUAGGUUCGUCAAGGGAUUGAGAUAUGAAAUUAGGGGCUUUGUGCGAGCACUAAAGCCCACUACCCAAGCUGAAGCACUGCGUCGGGCAGUGGAUAUGAGCGUUGGGAAGGAUGAAAUACAGCCAAGGAGCUUUGAUAAGGGAUCGUCGUCGGGUCAAAAGAGAAAAGUAGAGCAGAGAACUGUAGGAGUUCCUCAGAGGAACUUGAGACCAGGCGAUUCCUUUUCGCAGUUUCCAGCAGAGUUCUGGCGGUGCAGGAGACACUACUCGAGAGAGGCCAGUAUGUAAUACGUGUGGGAAACGCCACCUGGGUCGUUGUUUGAUGGGAACGAGAGUCUGUUAUAAGUGCAAGCAAGAGGGACACAUGGCUGAUAGGUGUCCCUUGAGAUCUACUGGGGCUGGAUCGAGCAGUCAGGGAGAGAGACCUCCACAGCGGGGUACAAUCUUUGCCACUAAUAGAUCAGAGGCAGAGAAGGCCGGCACAGUAGUGACAGGUACAUUACCAGUGUUAGGGCAUUUUGCCUUGACCUUGUUUGACUCGGGAUCUUCUCAUUCAUUUAUUUCAUCGCUUUUUGUGACGCAUGCAUGCUUAGAGGUGGAACCCUUAGACUAUGUUUUGUCAGUGUCUACACCGUCUGGAGAAAUUAUGUUGUCUAAGGAAAAGAUUAAAGCAUGUGAAAUUGAGAUAGCUGGUCGUGUGCUGGACGUAACCUUGUUGGUAUUAGAUAUGCGUGACUUUGAUGUAAUUUUAGGUAUGGAUUGGCUAGCUACUAAUCAUGCUAGUAUUGAUUGUUCUCGUAAGGAAGUUGUGUUCAGUCCCCCUACUGCAUCUAGCUUUAAAUUCAAGGGGUAGGAACAGUAGUACUGCCUAAAGUAAUCUCAGCUAUGAAAGCUAGUAAACUACUCAACCAGGGUACUUGGAGUAUUUUGGCAAGUGUGGUGGAUACUAGGGAAGGUGAGACUUCUUUAACUUCAGAACCUGUGGUAAGAGACUACCCAGAUGUAUUUCCAAAAGAUCUUCCAGGACUACCGCCACAUAGAGAGGUUGAUUUUGCCAUUGAGUUGGAGCCAAACACUACUCCUAUUUCUAGAGCCCCUUAUAGGAUGGCUCCUGCUGAGUUGAAAGAACUGAAGGUACAGUUACAGGAAUUGCUUGACAAAGGCUUUAUUCGACCUAGUGUGUCACCUUGGGGUGCACCAGUAUUGUUUGUGAAGAAGAAGGAUGGGUCGAUGCGUCUUUGCAUUGACUAUAGAGAGUUGAAUAAAGUAACAGUCAAGAACAGAUAUCCUUUACCCAGAAUCGAUGAUUUGUUCGAUCAGUUACAGGGAGCCACGGUGUUCUCUAAGAUUGACUUACGGUCAGGUUAUCACCAGUUGAGGAUUAGAGACCGUGAUAUUCCUAAGACUGCUUUUCGUUCGAGGUAUGGACAUUAUGAAUUCAUAGUAAUGUCUUUUGGUUUGACUAAUGCACCUGCUGUAUUUAUGGAUUUGAUGAACAGGGUGUUUAAGGAUUUCUUAGACACUUUUGUGAUAGUCUUCAUUGAUGAUAUUUUGGUUUAUUCCAAGACUGAAGCCGAACAUGAGGAACACUUACAUAAGGUGUUAGAGACUCUUCGAGUCAAUAAACUGUAUGCUAAGUUCUCUAAGUGCGAAUUUUGGUUGAAGCAGGUGGCUUUUCUUGGUCAUGUGGUUUCCAGUGAGGGAGUUUCAGUAGACCCUGCAAAGAUAGAAGCGGUUACCAGUUGGUCUCGACCCUCUACAGUUAGUGAGGUUCGUAGUUUUCUGGGUUUAGCAGGGUACUACCGGAGGUUUGUGGAGGAUUUUUCACGUUUGGCUACUCCCUUGACUCAGUUGACAAGGAAGGGAACUCCGUUUGUUUGGAGUCCAGCUUGUGAGGAUAGUUUUCAGAACCUUAAGCAAAGGUUAGUUACUGCACCGGUCCUUACUGUACCAGAUGGAUCUGGAAGUUUUGUGAUUUACAGUGAUGCUUCCAAGAAAGGACUGGGUUGUGUUUUGAUGCAGAAAGGUAAGGUGGUUGCUUAUGCCUCUCGUCAGUUGAAGAGUCACGAGCAGAACUACCCCACACAUGAUUUGGAGUUGGCAGCAGUGGUUUUUGCAUUGAAGAUAUGGAGACAUUACUUGUACGGUGAAAAGAUACAAAUCUUUACUGACCAUAAGAGCCUAAAGUACUUCUUCACUCAGAAGGAGUUGAAUAUGAGACAGCGAAGGUGGCUCGAGUUGGUAAAAGAUUAUGACUGUGAGAUAUUGUACCAUCCUGGUAAGGCGAAUGUGGUGGCUGAUGCUCUUAGUAGAAAAGUAUCACAUUCGGCAGCACUCAUUACUAGACAGGUACCAUUGCAUCGAGACUUGGAGAGAGCUGAGAUUGCAGUGUCUGUGGGGAGAGUCACCUCACAGCUAGCUCAAUUAACGGUGCAACCAACACUGAGACAGAAGAUUGUUGAUGCUCAGAGUAAUGAUCCUUAUUUGAUGGAGAGACGUCGCCUUGUUGAAACAGGGCAGAUUGAUGAGUUCUCCAUAUCCUCUGAUGGUGGGUUGAUGUUUGAGAGACGUUUAUGUGUGCCAGCGAACAGUACAGUUAAGAUUGACUUACUAGAUGAAGCCCAUAAUUCCUCAUUUUCCAUGCAUCAUGGUAGCACGAAAAUGUAUCAGGAUCUAAAACGAUUUUAUUGGUGGCGGAAUAUGAAAAGGGAAGUGGCGGAAUUUGUUAGUAAGUGUCUAGUAUGUCAGCAAGUUAAGGCACCUAGACAGAAACCAGCAGGUUUGUUACAACCCUUAAGUGUGCCAGAGUGGAAGUGGGAGAAUGUGUCGAUGGAUUUUAUUUCAGGGCUGCCUAAGACCCUGAAGGGUUUCACAGUGAUUUUGGUUGUCAUAGACAGGCUUACGAAAUCGGCACAUUUUGUACCAGGAAAAUCCACUUAUACUGCUAGUAAGUGGGCAGAGUUGUAUUUAACUGAGAUUGUGAGACUGCAUGGAGUGCCUGUAUCGAUUGUUUCUGAUAGGGAUGCACGGUUUACUUCCAAGUUUUGGAAGGGACUUCAGACUGCUAUGGGUACGAGAUUGGAUUUCAGUACAGCCUUUCAUCCACAGACUGAUGGUCAAACUGAACGUUUGAACCAAGUUUUAGAGGAUAUGCUACGAGCUUGUGUUAUAGAGUUUCCAGGUAGUUGGGACUCUCAUCUACAUUUGAUGGAGUUUGCUUAUAACAACAGUUUCCAGGCUACCAUCGGUAUGGCGCCAUUUGAAGCUUUGUAUGGUAAAUGUUGUAGAACCCCUAUUUGUUGGGGUGAGGUUGGUGAACAUAGGUUGAUGGGACCUGAAUUAGUUUGGUCUACUAAUGAGGCUAUUCAAACGAUUAGAACGCGUAUGCAAACAGCGCAGAGUAGACAAAAGAGUUAUGCAGAUGUACGGCGAAAAAGACCUUAAGUUCGAUGUGGGAGAAAAGGUAUUCUUGAAGGUAGCACCAAUGAAGGGUGUUAUGCGUUUUGAGAAGAAAGGGAAGUUAAGUCCUCGAUUUGUUGGACCAUUUGAGAUCUUAGAGAGGGUUGGUGUUGUGGCGUAUCGCUUGGCAUUACCACCAUCACUCUCUGCAGUUCAUAAUGUUUUCCAUGUUCCGAUGUUGAGGAAGUAUGUGGCCGAUACAUCUCAUGUAGUGGACUAUGAACCCUUGGAGAUUGAUGAGCAUUUGAGCUAUGUAGAACAACCUGUGGAGAUUCUGGCUAGAGAGGUAAAGAUGCUUCGUAAUAGAAGCAUUCCAUUAGUAAAGGUUUUGUGGCGGAAUCAUCGAAUUGAAGAGGCGACAUGGGAGCGAGAGGAAGAAAUGAGGACUCGUUAUCCAGAGUUAUUUCAGGAUUAAAACUUUCGAGGACGAAAGUUUCUUAAGGAGGGAAGAAUGUAAUGCCCAAAGAAAAGGUAAAUAUAUAUAUAUAUAUAUAUAUAUAUAUAUAUAUAUAUAUAUAUAUAUAUAUAUUAUUUUUAUUUUAAUAUUAAAAAAUUUCUUUAUUUUUUUUCUCUUCUUUUCUUCUUUUUCUUUUUCUUUUCUUUUCUCCCAUCUUCUUCCCCGUGCGACCGCGACCCCAUCCAUCUUCUCCACUCCGUUCUCCAUCUCCGUUCGCGAAGCAGCCUUGCAGCAGCCGCGGCGUAACUGUCUGAUCCAGAUCUGCGUCGUAGCCCAGAAACCGCCGCCCUUAUUUUCUUUCCGGUCGUUUUCUUUCUCCUUCGGAUCGAAACCGCCGCGCCCAUCCACCUGUAACUGCCAUUGCUCUUCCGCCUCUGCCCAGUUUUGUCGCGCAACACCUGUCUCCGUCGAAGCCAACCCAGCCGCCGUCUUUAUCUCCGUUCGCGAGGUAAAUCGCACGCCUUAGUCACGAACAGCCUCGCCGGUAUUAGCAUAUUAUUGACAGACAUAUGACUGUAGUAAAAUAAGUUGACUGUUAGGAUGUUGAAAGAAAGAACUUUGUGACUUGAAGUAACUGAAAGAUGGGUUGAAUGGAAUGAGGGGAUAAAUUGUUAGAUUGUAUUGGGAUGUUUACCUUGUAGGUGUCCCACGGGAUCACCAAUUUAUUGUGCACCUUCGGGAGCAUUUGACUGAUAUGUGUUUCUGCAGAACACUAGACUGAUAUGUACGUCCCUUGGGGCGUUAGACUGAUAUGUACGUCCCUCGGGGCAUUAGACUGAGAUGUGUAUCCUACGGGAUCACAAGACUGCGACUGUACAGGGUGUCCCAAUAGAACUUUAACAAUUUAUUUUCCCCUGACGAAACCAGUAGAGGGUCUCUUACUGAGUAUUUAAAUACCCACCCUUCUUAUAUAUGUUUAAUUUUCAGGCAAAGGUAAUAAAGGCGACAAACAGGCGAGGGGCAGGAAGGAAGCGUGAUGCCAUAGGAAACGUGUUUUUGCUUCCACUUAUGGGUUCUUGUGAGGUUUAAAAUGAAUUGAAAUUUAGUUUACAAACGUUUGUUGUAAAUAGUAUUAUUUUAUGUUUUCUUGAAUGUUUAAAAAUCAGGCCUGACUUGAAGAUGUUUUUUUUUAAAUUGCUUACGUUUUGUUUUAUAUUAAUCAAAGUCUUUUAUUUGUAAAAAAAUAAUAACGACCUCGACUUACUUAGAAAAGUUGGGUCGUUACAUAUUAAUAAUAAAAAUUGUCCUUAGUUUGCUUUUUAUGAUUUUAUUAAAAAAUUGUCCUUUUUUAUUCUGCAUUCUUUUUCAUAUAUUUUAUAUAAUUAUAGUAUAUAUUGAAUAAUAUAAUGUAUAUUUUAUUAGUGAAAUGUUCUUAUAUCAAUUUAUUUAUUUAUUUUAUUUAAAUAUUCAUAUCUUACAUAGUAAAUAAUACAUUAUGUUUGAAAUAAUAUUAAUUAUACAUGAAAGUUGUUUAUGUUUACAAGAACAUGAAUGAGAAAUAAUUAUGAUGAGUAUAUGUAAUAUAUGUCAUUAAAAUAUUUGUUAUUCUCUAGUAUAUGUAAUAGGGGUGUUCAAAAUGAAGUUGAAAACUGAAUCGAAUCACUAAUCGAACCGAAAUCGAAUGCAUAUGGUUCGGUUCGAUUCGAUUUCUAUUUCAAAAAAACCACAUAAAAUUCGGUUCGGUUCAGUUUAAGAUGUUAAGAACCGAUUCUCAAACCGAACUGAAUUGCUUUAUUUUAAAAACUAAAUAUAUAUAUAUAUAUAUAUAUAUAUAUAUGUGUGUGUUAAUAAUAAGACUUUUUUAGACUUCAAAGCGGGUAUAGAGGCAAAAAUCAAUGAGAGGAACGAAAAGGAGAAGAAUGACAUAAUCAAAACGUAAAUGACAAGUUGUCUUGACGAAGUUUGCAUGACUGUAGGACUUUUAUUCAUCUUAGGGGGAUUUUAAAACUUCUAUGUGUUGUUGGACUUUCAAAUUUCAAUGUUUGAAACAUCUAUGUCUGUAAUUUUGAAAUUUCUAUGUUUAUAACUUUGUAUAAGCCGUUCGGUUUUGAUUUGAUUUUAUUUAUGUAUAUGUGGUUCGGUUUUCAUUCGGUUUGGCAUAGAUGAGCGGUUCGGUUCGGUUUCAAUGAAGAUUUUUUUUAUCAUUUUGCGGUUCGAUGCGGUUUUAGCUUCAAACCGAACCGCGAACACCACUAAUAUGUAAUGUUGAGAUCAACUGAAUAUGUUUGUAAUGUAGGGACUUUGAUGAAAGAAUUGAAGAUUCAGGAAAUUGUAUGAAAAAAAAUGGUUGAAUGUUAAAUUGACUUAUGAAUAGUGUAUAUGAAACAAUACAUUAUAUAUUUUUAUGAAUGAAAUGUUAUGCAAUCAAUUUGUUAAACUGGUUUAUUUAUUUUAUUUCAAAUAUUUAUUUUAUAUGUAAUAAUAAUAAUAAGUUAUGUUUGAAACAGCAGUAUAAGGAUAUAUCAUAAUAUAUAUUGUUCAUUUAAGGUUAGUAAGAAUUUUAUAUUUUGUAUUUGAAAUAUACUAUGAUAUAUUGAGUACAUCAAAGAUGACAUCAUUUAUGUACUAUUGAAAAUAUGAAGUAGUAUAUAUAUGUAACAAAUCACAUAAGAUAUAUGUAUCAUGUACUAGUAUAUACGUCAUUAUUUAUAUAUACACACCUAAUGAAAAAAAGUAGAGUGUGUGGGACCCACGUAUAUAAAUAAUGAGAAAAUAAAAAAUGUUGGCCCAAUGUAAUAUAUAUAUAAAGUAAAAAAUAAACUAUGUAGGGUCCACUGCAUGAAAAUUGUGUAGGGGUACAAAACUUCACCUCAACUCACCUAUUUUUGUCAAUAGUUUUGCAUUCACCUACUUUUGACAUAUGUUUCAAAAUUUACAUUAUUUUUUAAAAAAGUUCUAUACAUAAUAAAUAAUAACUCGUGAUUGAAACAAGAGUGGUUAUGUAUGAAUGAUAGUAUAUUAAAUAUAAUAAAUUGAAAAAAAUUGAUUGGUACCGUAGAUGAAAAUUUAUGAAAAAAUAUAGAAAUAAAAUAACUAAAUUAAAAACUGAAAUAUGAAUAUUUCAAAUAAAAGUAUAAAUCAACAUACUAAAAGUUUAAUAAUAAGAAAGAAAAAUUAGUUCAAUAAGGAAAGCUUGCAUCUCUUUCGUUUAUGACAACCACAUUUAAAACUUCAUUUUAGAAUGAAUUCUAAUAUUUUUUUGUUGACCAACUGAACGUUUGACAUUCAAUGGGAUGAUGUCAACUUCAACUACUGUAUUAUUGAAUAUAUGCAUUAGUAUGUAUGUAACAAAUCAAAUAAAAUACUAAUCGAAUAUAGAAAAAUAUAAAGAAAAUGAUACAAAACGUGAAGGAAAAAAACUGAACUAUAUAUGUGUCACAAAAUACGUGUUAUUAUAUUUAUAUAAAUGUAUAUAUUGAUAACAUCAACCUGUCUAUGUAGUGAUAUAUAUUGAAAUUCAACUAUAAAAUUAUGUAGAACUAUAUGUCACUAAAUAUUUAUGUUGUAAAUAAGGUGUAUUUAUAUAUUAAAUCACAUCAUAAACAUAUUAUAAUUUACGAGUAUAUUAUAGUAUAUAUUGUUCAUUUAAAAAAUAUAUGACAAAUAGAAGGUAUAUAAUUAUACGAAGUGAGAAUAUGUAUGUAUGAUAUUCUCACUACAUAUUAUAUAUACACUAAGAAUGUGUAUUUUACUGUUUUAGUAGUAUUUACUAUAUAAAUAUAUAUUUUAAAUAUUAAUUAUUAAUGAAUAUAUAGUUUACUACAUGUUGUUACAACAUACUUAAGAUAUAAAUGUUUAUAUGACUAACAACAUAAUAUUACUAUAAGAUAAACAAAAAAAUAAAGAACAGAUUGAAUUGAAAAAUAUUUUCGAUUAUUGUAUGUCACUAUAUAUGUCUGAUUGUAUAUAUCUCUAAGCAAUAUUGUAAUGCCCCAAGAAGAGAGGAAGAAAAAAGAGGAAAAGAAGGAAAGGUAUAUAUAUUAUUUUUUUUCUUUUUUUUCUUUUCUUUUUCUUUUUUUCUUUUCUCUUCUCUUCUCCUCCCGUGCGCCCUUCCCCUUCUCCCCGUUCGCAGCGCAGCAACCGCCGCCGGUCAUCUCCAUCUUUUCUUCUCCUCUCCGCUCCUUCCAGACCCAGCCUCACCGUCGCGUCUCCCCUACUGAAGCCGAACGCCCGAUCUGCCGUCUCCAUUUCCGUUCGCAAAGCAGGACCGCGCCGUUGCUCUUCCGCCGCUGCCCGGUCCAGAUCUGCGUCGCAGCCCAGCAACCGCCGCCGCCGCCCCUAUUUUUCUUUCCGGUCGUUUUCUUCUCUUCUUCGGAUCCACAACUGCCGUUGUAACCGUCGGCCGCCGCGUGACCUCUGCCCAGUUCCGCCGCGCAACACCUGUCUCCGUCGAAGCCAAGCCAGCCGCCAUCCAUUCCUUUCCUUUCUCCUCUGUUUUCAGCACUGUCGCGCGACCGCUAACCGACCCACAUUUAGGAUUUUUGCUGCGAGUUCGACAUUCGUGCGUUGAGGUGUUGGGAGUAUCGUUAGACUCCCUUACAUUCACAAUCAGUUUGUGAAUUGUUGAGGGUUCAGUUCGCCAAUAUUUCGGUGAGUUGGAACUUACGUUGAGGAAAGUAAGUGAGAUAUGUAUCGUGAAAGUAAUUGAAGUUUUGUGUUGUUGUGCUUAGGAUUGUUUCGAGGACGUUAGUUGAUUAAGAAGCUUCCCCAACUUUGAGGUAAGGGACUUUCUACUGGACUCACCUAAAGUUUUUGAGUUGUGUUGGACUGUAUGGAUGAUGAUUAAGAUGUACAUGUUUGGUUGCAGACUAAAUGUUUAGUGUAUGUUGUAUUUGACUGGAAACAUAUAUAUAUACAUUGAUGUGUGAAUUGAUGUGGAUUGCCGAAAGUAUACAUGUGAAUGACUGAAAUUAUGCUUAUGUGUACAUGAUGAUAUUAAUAGAUUGUGUUGUAUAAAGAUUUGGAUGUAAACUAGUGAAUUUAUUUCGGUUGGAUGUGGAUUAUACUGAACUGUGGUUUGUGCUGGUGAACUGAGGGGUGUAUUGACUGUAUAGUUUGAUUGACUGACAUAUUAGUAUAUUAUUGACAGACAUAUGACUAAAGUGAGAUAAGUUGACUGUUAGGACGUUGAGAGAAAGAACUUUAUGUUUUGAAGUAACUGAAAGAUGGAUUGAAUGGAAUGAGGGGAUAAAUUGUUAGAUUGUAUUGGGAUGUUUACCUUGUAGGUGUCCCACGGGAUCACCAAUUUAUUUUGCACCUUCAGGAGCAUUUGACUGAUAUGUGUUUCUGCAGAACACUAGACUGAUAUGUACGUCCCUCGGGGCGUUAGACUGAUAUGCACGUCCCUCGGGGCGUUAGACUGAUAUGUACGUCCUUCGGGGCGUUAGACUGAAAUGUGUAUCCUACGGGAUCACAAGACUGCGACUGUACAGGGUGUCCCAAUAGAACUUUAACAAUUUAUUUUCCCCUGACGAGACCAGUAGAGGGUCUCUUACUGAGUAUUGUUAUACUCACCCUUCUUAUGUUUAAUUUUCAGGCAAAGGAAAUAAAGGUGGCAAACCGGCGAGGGGCAGGAAGGAAGCGUGAUUGCCAUAGGAAAUGUGUCAUUUUGCUUCCGCUUAUGGUUUCUUUUGAGGUUUAAGAUGUACUAAAACUUAGUUUUACAAACUUUUAUUUGUAAAUAGUGUUAUUUUUAAGUUUUCUUGAAUAUUUGAAAAUCAGGCCUGACAUAAAUUGUUUUUAAAUUGACUUACGUUUCAUUUUGUAUCAACCAAAGUCUUUUGUUAAAAAUUAACGACCUCGACUUACCCAGAAAAGUUGGGUCGUUACAAAUAUUACAUAAUGAGGUAGUAUAUAUGUAACAAAUCACAUAAUAUAUAUGUAUUAUGGAGAAGUAUAAAUGUAAUUGUUGAGCAAGAAACUUCAACCAAUGAAAUUACACCACGUCGUCGCACCCAAGUUGUGAUGAUUAUAAUUUGAUUGGAUUUGGGUAGUCAAGUUUUCCAACCCAAUUCAAGCCCCUGAUAAAAAAUCAGGCCAAACAUAGGGGCCUAAGCCCACUAAGAAAAUGGGCCCAAGCCCAAGUCCAAGCUCAACAACUCAACAAGCAAAUGGGUCCAAGCCCACAUAAAGUCAACAAAUUUUCUCUAUAAGUAGAGACCUUUGUCAUUCAUUCGAGAGAUCUUUUGUUUAAGGAAGAAAUGAAGCUCUGAAGUACUGAAGCUUUGAAGAAUUGAAGAUUCAAACUUCUAUAGAGCUCUCAAGACGUGCAAGUUAUUAUCAACUUUGAGAUCAUCGUCUUCUGAAAUAUUGAAGACUUGGAAGAUCAAAAUUUCCUUGAAUUCCAGAAGACUGAAGCUGAAAUAGACCGAACCAUUUAAAUUCGGUUUGGACUAUUUGAGACAGCAACAAACUGUGUUUUUUGUUUUGUACAUAAAUGGUGUGGUUUGAUUCGGUUUUAACAAGCGGUUCAAUUUAUACCGUUUAGACAUGAUCUUAUAUAAUGUGAAAUUAUUUUUUUUUCUUUGAAUUUUUAUCUAAGUGUACUCAAAUUGUAUACCAUGUUACAAAAUUGCAAUAAAUUUUUUAAAAUUUUCAAAAAUAUCAUAAAUUGACUAAUAUUUUAUACAAAUAUAGAGUAAAAAUGACCAAUUUACUCUUUUUAUUAUUAAUAAUAUAUUAAAAAUAAAAAGAAAAGUGAACCACGUUUAAGAUUUUCAUUUAUUAAAUAUUCUAUGAAAAUAUGGAUUAAAUUUUAUUAAAGUAAUAUUAAUAAUAAAAAUUGUCCUUAGUUUGCUUUUUAUGAUUUUAUUAAAAAAUUGUCCUUUUUUUAUUUUGCAUUCUUUUUCAUAUAUUUUAUAUAAUUAUAGUAUAUAUUGAAUAAUAUAAUGUAUAUUUUAUUAGUGAAAUGUUCUUAUAUCAAUUUAUUUAUUUAUUUUAUUUAAAUAUUCAUAUCUUACGUAGUAAAUAAUACAUUAUGUUUGAAAUAAUAUUAAUUAUAUAUGAAAGUUGUUUAUGUUUACAAGAACAUGAAUGAGAAAUAAUUAUGAUGAGUAUAUGUAAUAUAUGUCAUUAAAAUAUUUGUUAUUCUCUAGUAUAUGUAAUAGGGGUGUUCAAAAUGAAGUUGAAAACUGAAUCGAAUCACUAAUCGAACCGAAAUCGAAUGCAUAUGGUUCGGUUCGAUUCGAUUUCUAUUUCAAAAAAACCACAUAAAAUUCGGUUCGGUUCAGUUUAAGAUGUUAAGAACCGAUUCUCAAACCGAACUGAAUUGCUUUAUUUUAAAAACUAAAUAUAUAUAUAUAUAUAUAUAUAUAUAUAUAUAUAUGUGUGUGUGUGUUAAUAAUAAGACUUUUUUAGACUUCAAAGCGGGUAUAGAGGCAAAAAUCAAUGAGAGGAACGAAAAGGAGAAGAAUGACAUAAUCAAAACGUAAAUGACAAGUUGUCUUGACGAAGUUUGCAUGACUGUAGGACUUUUAUUCAUCUUAGGUGGAUUUUAAAACUUCUAUGUGUUGUUGGACUUUCAAAUUUCAAUGUUUGAAACAUCUAUGUCUGUAACUUUGUAUAAGCCGUUCGGUUUUGAUUUUAUUUUAUUUAUGUAUAUGUGGUUCGAUUUUCUUUGGCAUAGAUGAGCGGUUCGGUUCGGUUUCAAUGAAGAUUUUUUUUAUCAUUUUGCGGUUCGAUGCGGUUUUAGCUUCAAACCGAACCGCGAACACCACUAAUAUGUAAUGUUGAGACCAACUGAAUAUGUUUGUAAUGUAGGGACUUUGAUGAAAGAAUUGAAGAUUCAGGAAAUUGUAUGAAAAAAAAUGGUUGAAUGUUAAAUUGACUUAUGAAUAGUGUAUAUGAAACAAUACAUUAUAUAUUUUAUGAAUGAAAUGUUAUGCAAUCAAUUUGUUAAACUGGUUUAUUUAUUUUAUUUGAAAUAUUUAUUUUAUAUGUAAUAAAUAAUAAGUUAUGUUUGAAACUGCAGUAUAAGGAUAUAUCAUAAUACAUAUUGUUCAUUUAAGGUUAGUAAGAAUUUUAUAUUUUGUAUUUGAAAUAUAAUAUGAUAUAUUGAGUACAUCAAAGAUGACAUCAUUUAUGUACUAUUGAAAAUAUGAAGUAGUAUAUAUAUGUAACAAAUCACAUAAGAUAUAUGUAUCAUGUACUAGUAUAUACGUCAUUAUUUAUAUAUACACACCUAAUGAAAAAAAGUAGAGUGUGUGGGACCCACGUAUAUAAAUAAUGAGAAAAUAAAAAAUGUUGGCCCAAUGUAAUAUAUAUAUAAAGUAAAAAAUAAACUAUGUAGGGUCCACUGCAUGAAAAUUGUGUAGGGGUACAAAACUGCACCUCAACUCAUCUAUUUUUGUCAAUAGUUUUGCAUUCACCUACUUUUGACAUAUGUUUCAAACUUUACAUUAUUUUUUAAAAAAAGUUCUAUACAUAAUAAAUAAUAACUCGUGAUUGAAACAAGAGUGGUUAUGUAUGAAGGAUAGUAUAUUAAAUAUAAUAAAUUGAAAAACUUUGAUUGGUACCGUAGAUGAAAAUUUAUGAAAAAAUAUAGAAAUAAAAUAACUAAAUUAAAAACUGAAAUAUGAAUAUUUCAAAUAAAAGUAUAAAUCAACAUACUAAAAGUUUAAUAAUAAGAAAGAAAAAUUAGUUCAAUAAGGAAAGCUUGCAUCUCUUUCGUUUAUGACAACCACAUUUAAAACUUCAUUUUAGAAUGAAUUCUAAUAUUUUUUUGUUGACCAACUGAACGUUUGACAUUCAAUGGGAUGAUGUCAACUUCAACUACUGUAUUAUUGAAUAUAUGCAUUAGUAUGUAUGUAACAAAUCAAAUAAAAUACUAAUCGAAUAUAGAAAAAUAUAAAGAAAAUGAUACAAAACGUGAAGAAAAAAAACUGAACUAUAUAUGUGUCACAAAAUACGUGUUAUUAUAUUUAUAUAAAUGUAUAUAUUGAUAACAUCACCUGUCUAUGUAGUGAUAUAUAUUGAAAUUCAACUAUAAAUUAUGUAGAACUAUAUGUCACUAAAUAUUUAUGUUGUAAAUAAGGUGUAUCUAUAUAUUAAAUCACAUCAUAAACAUAUUAUAAUUUACGAGUAUAUUAUAGUAUAUAUUGUUCAUUUAAAAAAUAUAUGACAAAUAGAAGGUAUAUAAUUAUACGAAGUGAGAAUAUGUAUGUAUGAUAUUCUCACUGCAUAUUAUAUAUACACUAAGAAUGUGUAUUUUACUGUUUUAGUAGUAUUUACUAUAUAAAUAUAUAUUUUAAAUAUUAAUUAUUAAUGAAUAUAUAGUUUACUACAUGUUGUUACAACAUACUUAAGAUAUAAAUGUUUAUAUGACUAACAACAUAAUAUUACUAUAAGAUAAACAAAAAAAUAAAGAACAGAUUGAAUUGAAAAAUAUUUUCGAUUAUUGUAUGUCACUAUAUAUGUCUGAUUGUAUAUAUCUCUAAGCAAUAUUAGAUAAUGAGGUAGUGUAACGACCCAACUUUUCUAAGUAAGUCGAGAUCGUAAAUUUUUAACAAAUAAAGACUUUGAUUAAUAUAAAACAAAACGUAAACAAUUAAAAAAAAACAUUUUCAAGUCAGGCCUGAUUUUUAAACAUUCAAGAAAACAUAAAAUAAUACUAUUUACAACAAACGUUUGUAAACUAAAUUUCAAUUCAUUUUAAACCUCACAAGAACCCAUAAGCGGAAGCAAAAACACGUUUCCUAUGGCAUCACGUUUCCUUCCUGCCCCUCGCCUGUUUGCCGCCUUUAUUACCUUUGCCUGAAAAUUAAACAUAAGAGGGGUGAGUAUUUAAAUACUCAGUAAGAGACCCUCUACUGGUCUCGUCAGGGGAAAAUAAAUUGUUAAAGUUCUAUUGGGACACCUUGUACAGUCGCAGUCUUGUGAUCCCGUAGGAUACACAUCUCAGUCUAACGCCCCGAGGGACGUACAUAUCAGUCUAACACCCCGAGGGACGUACAUACAGUCUAGUGUUCUGCAGAAACACAUAUCAGUCUAAUGCUCCCGAAGGUGCACAAUAAAUUGGUGAUCCCGUGGGACACCUACAAGGUAAACAUCUCAAUACAAUCUAACAAUUUUCCCCUCAUUCCAUUCAACCCAUCUUUCAGUUACUUCAAGUCACAAAGUUCUUUCUUUCAACAUCCUAACAGUCAACUUAUUUUACUACAGUCAUAUGUCUGUCAAUAAUAUGCUAAUACAUCAGUCAAUCCACUAUACAGUCAAUGCACCCCUCAGUUCACCAGCACACAGUCAUACUUUAGCGUAAUCAUACACCCAAUCUAAACGAGAAUCUCAUACAAACACAAUCUACAAUCUCCGUCCUGUCCACAUACACACAUUUAUAUAUAGAUUCCAUGACAAUCACGACAUACAUUCGACGUCAAGUCUACUUCAAUUCAUAUACAUUCAUAUAUAUUUUCAGUCAACCCACAGUAUACAUUCAACACACAUACAGCUCACAAUCACAGUUCACAAUCACAAUUGAGUCCAGUAGAAAAUCCCUUACCUGGAUCUUUAUGUAAAAUUCCUUAGUCGAACUAACUUCAACAAACAAACCCCAAGAGUAAAGAAUCGAACUCCAACAAAGCUUAAGGCGUAACUCAAGGACACUAACUCCAAAUCACCGAUGUCGCCUUCAAGAACAAAGAUCAAUUCAACCAAUUAAACAACAUCACAUCUUAAUGUAUUUACAAAUGUAAGACCUUUUUACCGAACAAUCUCAUCCUUACCAAUAUCUUGUAACAAGACUUUGACCAUCGACGUUAAAUAGAAGUUGCCGCAGGAUCUACACAAAAGACAUCGUGCAAAACACUUCUGCACGUGAACAGGUCCGCGAUUCGUAAAUGGGACAGCGGGUAUCGACGAAGGCAGAACGGUUCGGACGUUCAACAUCAGUUACGCGCGGACGAGAGUAGCCCGACAACGUAGCCGAACUCGUGCGAUGCGGCGUGACCUGCGUCGGCGAGGCUGUUCGUCUGAGGCGUGAGCGCGUGCGACUUGCCUCGCGGACGGAGAUAGAGACGGCGGUUGGGUUCGGCUUCCACGGAGACAGAAUCGACGAUGGAGACGGCAGAUCGGCGCGCGGGCUGCAGCUGGGCUGCGGCGGGAAGAAAACGAAAGGGAAAGGAUCGGUGGGAGUCGCGGCGCACGGCGGAAGAAGGAAAUAGGGGCGGCGGUUGCUGGGCUGCGACGCAGAUCUGGACUGGGCACGAACGGAAGGAGAAGAGGAACGGAGAUGGCCGGCGGCGGUUGCUGCGCGAACGGAGAGAAGGGGAAGGUGGGUCGCACGACGCACGGGAGGAGAAGAGAAAUAGGGAAAAGAAAAGAAAAAGGAAAAGAAAAACAAAAUAUAUAUAUUUCUUUUUCUUUUCUUUUUAUUUAAAUUAAUUACAAAAUAUAUAUAUAUAUAUAUAUAUAUAUAUAUAUAUAUAUAUAUAUAUAUAAUAUAUAUACCUUUGGGGCAUUACACGUAGUAUAUAUGUAACAAAUCACAUAAUAUAUAUGUAUUAUGGAGUAGUAUAAAUGUAAUUAUUGAGCAAGAAAUUUCAACCAAUGAAAUUACACCACGUCGUCGCACCCAAGUUGUGAUGAUUAUAAUUUGAUUGGAUUUGGGUAGUCAAGUUUUCCAACCCAAUUCAAGCCCCUGAUAAAAAAUCAGGCCAAACAAAGGGGCCUAAGCCCACUAAAAAAAUGGGCCCAAGCCCAAGUCCAAGCUCAACAACUCAACAAGCAAAUGGGUCCAAGCCCACAUAAAGUCCACAAAUUUUCUCUAUAAGUAGAGACCUUUGUCAUUCAUUCGAGAGAUCUUUUGUUGAAGGAAGAAAUGAAGCUCUGAAGUACUGAAGCUUUGAAGAAUUGAAGAUUCAAACUUCUAUAGAGCUCUCAAGACGUGCAAGUUCUUAUCAACUUCGAGAUCAUCGUCUUCUGAAAUAUUGAAGACUUGGAAGAUCAAAAUUUCCUUGAAUUCCAGAAGACUGAAGCUGAAAUAGACCGAACCAUUUAAAUUCGGUUUGGACUAUUUGAGACAGCAACAAACUGUGUUUUUUGUUUUGUACAUAAAUGGUGUGGUUUGAUUCGGUUUUAACAAGCGGUUCAAUUUAUACCGUUUAGACUUGAUCUUAUAUAAUGUGAAAUUAUUUUUUUUCUUUGAAUCUUUAUCUAAGUGUACUCAAAUUGUAUACCAUGUUACAAAAUUGCAAUAAAUUUUUUAAAAUUUUCAAAAAUAUCAUAAAUUGACUAAUAUUUUAUACAAAUAUAGAGUAAAAAUGACCAAUUUACUCUUUUUAUUAUUAAUAAUAUAUUAAAAAUAAAAAGAAAAGUGAACCACGUUUAAGAUUUUCAUUUAUUAAAUAUUCUAUGAAAAUAUGGAUUAAAUUCUAUUAAAGUAAUAUUAAUAAUAAAAAUUGUCCUUAGUUUGCUUUUUAUGAUUUUAUUAAAAAAUUGUCCUUUUUUAUUUUGCAUAACUUUUCAUAUAUUUUAUAUAAUUAUAGUAUAUAUUGAAUAAUAUAAUGUAUAUUUUAUUAGUGAAAUGUUCUUAUAUCAAUUUAUUUAUUUAUUUUAUUUAAAUAUUCAUAUCUUACGUAGUAAAUAAUACAUUAUGUUUGAAAUAAUAUUAAUUAUAUAUGAAAGUUGUUUAUGUUUACAAGAACAUGAAUGAGAAAUAAUUAUGAUGAGUAUAUGUAAUAUACGUCAUUAAAAUAUUUGUUAUUCUCUAGUAUAUGUAAUAGGGGUGUUCAAAAUGAAGUUGAAAACUGAAUCGAAUCACUAAUCGAACCGAAAUCGAAUGCAUAUGGUUCGCUUCGAUUCGAUUUCUAUUUCAAAAAAACCACAUAAAAUUUGGUUCGGUUCAGUUUAAGAUGUUAAGAACCGAUUCUAAAAAAAAACCGAACUGAAUUGCUUUAUUUUAAAAACUAAAUAUAUAUAUGUUAAUAAUAAGACUUUUUUAGACUUCAAAACGGGUAUAGAGGCAAAAAUCAAUGAGAGGAACAAAAAGGAGAAGAAUGACAUAAUCAAAACGUAAAUGACAAGUUGUCUUGACGAAGUUUGUAUGACUGUAGGACUUUUAUUCAUCUUAGGUGGAUUUUAAAAAUUCUAUGUGUUGUUGGACUUUCAAAUUUCAAUGUUUGAAACAUCUAUGUCUGUAAUUUUGAAAUUUCUAUGUUUAUAACUUUGUAUAAGCCGUUCGGUUUUUUGAUUUGAUUUUAUUUAUGUAUAUGUGGUUCGGUUUUCAUUCGGUUUGGCAUAGAUGAGCGGUUCGGUUCGGUUUCAAUGAAGAUUUUUUUUAUCAUUUUGCGGUUCGAUGCGGUUUUAGCUUUAAACCGAAUCGCGAACACCACUAAUAUGUAAUGUUGAGAUCAACUGAAUAUGUUUGUAAUGUAGGGACUUUGAUGAAAGAAUUGAAGAUUCAGAAAAUUUUACGAAAAAAAUGGUUGAAUGUUAAAUUGACUUAUGAAUAGUGUAUAUGAAACAAUACAUUAUAUAUUUUAUGAAUGAAGUGUUAUGCAAUCAAUUUGUUAAACUGGUUUAUUUAUUUUAUUUCAAAUAUUUAUUUUAUAUGUAAUAAAUAAUAAGUUAUGUUUGAAACAGCAGUAUAAGGAUAUAUCAUAAUAUAUAUUGUUCAUUUAAGGUUAGUAAGAAUUUUAUAUUUUGUAUUUGAAAUAUACUAUGAUAUAUUGAGUACAUCAAAGAUGACAUCAUUUAUGUACUAUUGAAAAUAUGAAGUAGUAUAUAUAUGUAACAAAUCACAUAAGAUAUAUGUAUCAUGUACUAGUAUAUACGUCAUUAUUUAUAUAUACACACCUAAUGAAAAAAAGAAGAGUGUGUGGGACCCACGUAUAUAAAUAAUGAGAAAAUAAAAAAUGUUGGCCCAAUGUAAUAUAUAUAUAAAGUAAAAAAUAAACUAUGUAGGGUCCACUGCAUGAAAAUUGUGUAGGGGUACAAAACUUCACCUCAACUCACCUAUUUUUGUCAAUAGUUUUGCAUUCACCUACUUUUGACAUAUGUUUCAAAAUUUACAUUAUUUUUUAAAAAAAGUUCUAUACAUAAUAAAUAAUAACUCGUGAUUGAAACAAGAGUGGUUAUGUAUGAAGGAUAGUAUAUUAAAUAUAAUAAAUUGAAAAACUUUGAUUGGUACCGUAGAUGAAAAUUUAUGAAAAAAUAUAGAAAUAAAAUAACUAAAUUAAAAACUGAAAUAUGAAUAUUUCAAAUAAAAGUAUAAAUCAACAUACUAAAAGUUUAAUAAUAAGAAAGAAAAAUUAGUUCAAUAAGGAAAGCUUGCAUCUCUUUCGUUUAUGACAACCACAUUUAAAACUUCAUUUUAGAAUGAAUUCUAAUAUUUUUUUGUUGACCAACUGAACGUUUUACAUUCAAUGGGAUGAUGUCAACUUCAAUUACUGUAUCAUUGAAUAUAUGCAUUAGUAUGUAUGUAACAAAUCAAAUAAAAUACUAAUCGAAUAUAGAAAAAUAUAAAGAAAAUGAUACAAAACGUGAAGGAAAAAAACUGAACUAUAUAUGUGUCACAAAAUACGUGUUAUUAUAUUUAUAUAAAUGUAUAUAUUGAUAACAUCACCUGUCUAUGUAGUGAUAUUGUAAAGUCCCAAAGGUAAAAAUAUAUAUAUAUACAUUUUUUUUAAUUUUUAUAUAUAUAUAUAUAUUUUUUCUUUUAUUUUCUUUUUCUUUUCUUUUCUCUCUUCUCCUUCCUCCCCGUGCGUUCUCCUUCCCGUUCGCAGCAACCGCCGCCCCAUCUAUUCUCUUUUCGUUCGUGCGCAGCCGCAGUCCAACCGCCGCCCCUUCUUUUCUUUUCUUCCUCUUUCGUUCGACGUCGACGGUCAGGCCAAGCCAAACCGCAGCUGCAACCGUCGGCCGCCGUCUUUGUUGCGAAGCAAGGCCGCUGCGUGACCUUCCGCCCACCGCCGUGUGACCCUCUGUCCAGUUCUGCACCGCUAGAUCGAGCCGUCCACCGGUUUCGUCUAUUUCUGUCUCCGUUCACCGAAGCCGAACCCAACCGCCACCCUUUCUUUUCUUCUUCGAUCCAAAAACUGCCGCUGCAACGCGUCAGCCGCUGCGUGACCUCUGCCCAGCACCGCCGCGCAGCCUCUGUCUCUGCGCCGUUACCCAGAUCUGCGUCGCCGUGCCCCGUCCUAAUCGUCUCUGUCUCUGUCGAAGUUUUGUUGGUAAGAUUGAAGUCAUGAAAUUGUAGUCGUUUCCAAAACAAUUUAAGUAUGGGUUGUUAUGUUUUCAAGGUGUUCAAACGUUACGGAUGGGUUAAUUGACUAAUUUGAUAAAUUAUUCUUGAAGGUGUGAAAGGUAACUUUGGAUCACUUAAAUUCACAACCAAUUUGUGAAUUGUUGAGGGUUCAGUUCGCCAAUAUAUCGGUGAGUUGGAACUUACGUUGAGGAAAGUAAGUGAGAUAUGUAUCGUGAAAGUAAUUGAAUUUUGUGUUGUUGUGCUUAGGAUUGUUUCGAGGACGUUAGUUGAUUAAGGAGCUUCCCCAACUUUGAGGUAAGGGACUUUCUACUGGACUCACCUAAAGUUUUUUGAGUUGUGUUGGACUGUAUGGAUGAUGAUUAAGAUGUACAUGUUUGGUUGCAGACUAAAUGUUUAGUGUAUGUUGUAUUUGACUGGAAACAUAUAUAUAUAUACAUUGAUGUGUGAAUUGAUGUGGAUUGCCGAAAGUAUACAUGUGAAUGACUGAAAUUAUGCUUAUGUGUACAUGAUGAUAUUAAUAGAUUGUGCUGUAUAAAGAUUUGGAUGUGAACUAGUGAAUUUGUUUCGGUUGGAUGUGGAUUAUACUGAACUGUGGUUUGUGCUGGUGAACUGAGGGGUGUAUUGACUGUAUAGUUUGAUUGACUGACGUAUUAGUAUAUUAUUGACAGACAUAUGACUAAAGUGAGAUAAGUUGACUGUUAGGACGUUGAGAGAAAGAACUUUAUGUUUUGAAGUAACUGAAAGAUGGAUUGAAUGGAAUGAGGGGAUAAAUUGUUAGAUUGUAUUGGGAUGUUUACCUUGUAGGUGUCCCACGGGAUCACCAAUUUAUUUUGCACCUUCGGGAGCAUUUGACUGAUAUGUGUUUCUGCAGAACACUAGACUGAUAUGUACGUCCCUCGGGGCGUUAGACUGAUAUGUACGUCCCUCGGGGCGUUAGACUGAUAUGUACGUUCCUCGGGGCGUUAGACUGAGAUGUGUAUCCUACGGGAUCACAAGACUGCGAC
This 39957-nucleotide long non-coding RNA is filed under the name Cucumis sativus (cucumber). RNAcentral's name for it is "long non-coding RNA (CSAT_LNC000233)". The record is from RNAcentral. Lineage: Eukaryota; Viridiplantae; Streptophyta; Magnoliopsida; Cucurbitales; Cucurbitaceae.